This 301-nucleotide ribosomal RNA is filed under the name uncultured bacterium. Its description in RNAcentral is "partial 16S ribosomal RNA". It matches the Rfam family "Bacterial small subunit ribosomal RNA", at positions 509 to 807 of the family's 1533-position model. The record is from RNAcentral.
CAGUCGCCGCGGUAAUACGGAGGUGGCUAGCGUUGUUCGGAAUUACUGGGCGUAAAGCGCACGUAGGCGGCUUGGUAAGUUAGAGGUGAAAGCCCGGAGCUCAACUCCGGAAUUGCCUUUAAGACUGCCGAGCUAGUAGGUGAGAGAGGUAAGUGGAAUUCCGAGUGUAGAGGUGAAAUUCGUAGAUAUUCGGAAGAACACCAGUGGCGAAGGCGGCUUACUGGCUCAUUCUAGACGCUGAGGUGCGAAAGCGUGGGGAGCAAACAGGAUUAGAUACCCCUGUAGUCCCUGUCUCUUAUAC